RNAcentral lists this transfer RNA (65 nucleotides) under Atkinsoniella heiyuana. RNAcentral describes it as "tRNA-Phe". The record is from RNAcentral. Lineage: Eukaryota; Metazoa; Arthropoda; Insecta; Hemiptera; Cicadellidae.
AUUUUAAUAACUUAAAUUUAGAGUGUAGUAUUGAAGCUACUAUUGUGAGUUAAACUCUUAAAAUA